Molecule: unclassified non-coding RNA, 412 nt
Filed under: Hevea brasiliensis (rubber tree)
Lineage: Eukaryota; Viridiplantae; Streptophyta; Magnoliopsida; Malpighiales; Euphorbiaceae
Source: RNAcentral
GAAGUACUUGGAGAAAUGGGACAAGACUUACUGGCCAACAUACAAGGUGCUUGAUAUCUUGCAGAAGGUAUUUUACAGGUCGAAUCCAGCAAGAGAAGCUUUCGUGGAGAUGUGCGCUGAUGAGUAUGUGCAGAAGAUGACAUUCGACAGCUAUUUGUACAAGAAAGUUGCACCAGGAAACCCCAUUGAAGACUUGAAGCUUGCUGUGAAUACCAUUGGAAGUUUGGUGAGGGCUAAUGCACUAAGAAGGGAAAUGGACAAACUCAGUGUAUAAGAAGAGGAUAAAAUUUCAUAGUAGCUAAUAUUUUGUAAACUUGAUUUGUAAUUGAAGUAUUUAUGCCUUUUAUCGAAUUUCAUGUUACUUGCAUUCCUGUCAAUGUUGUUGAAGCUAGUUUAAACUUCGAAUUUGGAC